This 1006-nucleotide unclassified non-coding RNA is filed under the name Hevea brasiliensis (rubber tree). The record is from RNAcentral. Lineage: Eukaryota; Viridiplantae; Streptophyta; Magnoliopsida; Malpighiales; Euphorbiaceae.
UAUAAAAUACCUACACCAAAGGAGUACUUGGUAGACUAGAUGAUAAAACCAUUAAAUAUAUCAAGUUACAAGUUGUCUGAUUAUAUCUGGAAAAGUAUCUGCCAGAACUAACAACAGCACCUUUCUCAUUAUAUAUAUUCUAAAUCAUAACAAAUAAGUAUACAAAACAUACGGCUUUUCCAGGUUGAGUAGCUCGUGCUGCUAGAAACGCUGCUAUACUGUCUGUGGUUCCUGUACAAAUUAGGCAAUCCUUUGGAUAACCAAACUGAGUUCUUAUGUCCUCUUUCAUACACCCAAUUUUAGUACCAGGAUCGUGUACAGAAGGUAAAAGAUGAGAAUAUGGCUGAGAUAGAAGCCAAGGCGGAUAGGAAUCCAUUUCCGGAUCAUAGCCAACCUUCAGAGCAUUAUUAUAGUCAGACACGCCCAGCUUGCCAUGGAGUAGCCACAAUAACCAAUCUGCUUGAUGUAGCAAUACAGCAGAUUCCUUGCUAGAAGGAUAAGAGUUCCACCAUGAGACAAGCUUGCAAAGUGUAGAAGAUCCAGAGCAGACUGUAUGUUUUGCAGGAGCAAUAGACUUCACCAAAGGCAAGGAAUCAGGACAGCUCUCAUUAUACAGGAAUGCUCUUGAUAAUGGCUCUUCGCUCCUACUAUCGAUGAUGAUAGUUGUUGCAGAGGUCCCAUCGAUGGCAAUGGACGCAACAACUUUUCGGAGACUGACCGGGACAUCAUCAAGGAGUAAAAAGAGUGUGUCUUUCCAUGAUUGUAUCCAGUCCAUUUUUUCCUCUUUCAUAUAAAGUGGGUACUCUCUUUUUCCUUCAGCAUGAAUAUUACCAUCACCAUCAAUAAGAGAAUAUCGAGCUCCAGAUGUUCCAAAAUCCAUACCAAGAUAAAGCUUCUUGCCAAUUUCAAAAUCAUUUGUAAAAAUGGGAUUUCUUCCUUUGCCAGAUACACCACACUCUAACAUUCUUGAGCUUAAUUUUCUCCAACUCCUAAAAUCCACACAUGA